GACGAACGCUGGCGGCGUGCCUAAUACAUGCAAGUAGAACGCUGAAGGAGGAGCUUGCUUCUCUGGAUGAGUUGCGAACGGGUGAGUAACGCGUAGGUAACCUGCCUGGUAGCGGGGGAUAACUAUUGGAAACGAUAGCUAAUACCGCAUAAUAGCAGUUAUUGUAUGAUAACUGUUUGAAAGGUGCAAUUGCACCACUACCAGAUGGACCUGCGCUGUAUUAGCUAGUUGGUGGGGUAACGGCUCACCAAGGCGACGAUACAUAGCCGACCUGAGAGGGUGAUCGGCCACACUGGGAAUGAGACACGGCCCAGACUCCUACGGGAGGCAGCAGUAGGGAAUCUUCGGCAAUGGACGGAAGUCUGACCGAGCAACGCCGCGUGAGUGAAGAAGGUUGUCGGAUCGUAAAGCUCUGUUGUAAGAGAAGAACGAGUGUGAGAGUGGAAAGUUCACACUGUGACGGUAUCUUACCAGAAAGGGACGGCUAACUACGUG
Molecule: ribosomal RNA, 495 nt
Filed under: uncultured bacterium
Lineage: Bacteria
Description: partial 16S ribosomal RNA
Rfam family: Bacterial small subunit ribosomal RNA
Source: RNAcentral